CAGAAGGGGUGAGGAGGGGGUUGCUAGCCACCCUUGCCCUCCUCCACCUGCCAGCAAGAGGGGUCGCCCCACUUGUCCCUGAGAGCUUUUAGAGCCAGCCAACUCCUGUCUCUGCUGAUCUCUUCAUCCCUGGCCGUAUGCCCCUUAAAUAAAGCCCUGCAUCCAGGGCAAUCCUGACGCUUCCCCUCUGGCCCCUCCCCCAUGGGUCAAGCUGUCUCUCCAGCUGUUGCCUUGGCAGCCUCUAGGGCAGCCGUUGCCCUAAUCCCACCCUCCACUUCUGGCGCCGCCAUGGCAGGUGGGUGGGAGGUAGCUCUCCCAUCAUCGCCACCGUGUGCUAGCCUUCCGACCCUUUCCAGCCCAGCCCUGGACAGUUGACUCCCUGGUCUCUGCCUGUGGCCUGCCAGCUCCUGCUGAGGUUUGACACCCUGUGGCUUCCCUUUCUGCCAUUGAGCAGCCCAGUGAGUGCUCCCCCCAGGAGCCGACGGGAGGGCCCGAAGCCAGUAAACAUCCAGACUGGAGCAUGCAAAGAACCAGGUCUUUAAAAUGCCUUCCUUUCCUGAGAGAAGGCCUGUGAUUGUUUGAGCAACUGCUCUGUCAAAUUCUGAGAUGAUGAGCCCUGCUGGGAUAGGAAACCAUUUCCUCACUCCUUUUGCUACGGAAACGGCUCUGAAAGAUUUUUCGUGUCAUUGAAAAAUGAAAUAUAAAUACUCUUUUAUAUUUCCAAAUGAAAGUACUUGAAAAUCUGACUGCCUGACUUUAGAAUAUAAGAUUUCAAUCUGAACGUUGGAAAGGAAUGGUGAAAUGCUGUUAUAUAUUGGGACUCGUCCCCUUAGCUUCUUGAACCUUGCUUCUGGAAAAUGUUUAUUAAGAAUUAUUUUUUCAGUAAGAAAUAAAAUAGAUACACUGUGCAA
Long non-coding RNA from Hemicordylus capensis (graceful crag lizard), 911 nucleotides. RefSeq lists it as uncharacterized. The transcript is spliced from 2 exons. NCBI's taxonomy places the organism in Eukaryota, Metazoa, Chordata, Lepidosauria, Squamata, Cordylidae. The record is from RefSeq and is a predicted model, not a curated record.